CGAUGGAACAAUGUAGGCAAGG
Molecule: small nuclear RNA, 22 nt
Filed under: Arabidopsis thaliana (thale cress)
Lineage: Eukaryota; Viridiplantae; Streptophyta; Magnoliopsida; Brassicales; Brassicaceae
Description: snRNA_17478
Source: RNAcentral